Non-coding RNA from Arachis ipaensis, 148 nucleotides. The record is from RefSeq and is a predicted model, not a curated record. NCBI's taxonomy places the organism in Eukaryota, Viridiplantae, Streptophyta, Magnoliopsida, Fabales, Fabaceae.
CAAUCUAUGCAAAGCUGCGCCAGUGUUUGUACGCAGUGGAACCCCCGAUGAACAUAAUCACGGGUGAAUGAUGGGUUGGCAUGAACUACAAAUUACUAACAGUUUUAGAAUUAGAAUGUAAUGAAUGUGUUGGUUUUGGAAUGUGAUU